Molecule: ribosomal RNA, 253 nt
Filed under: uncultured bacterium
Lineage: Bacteria
Description: partial 16S ribosomal RNA
Rfam family: Bacterial small subunit ribosomal RNA
Source: RNAcentral
UACAGAGGUCUCAACCGUUGCUCGGAUUCAUUGGGCGUAAAGGGUGCGUAGGCGGUCGUGCAAGUCGGAUGUGAAAUCUCAGGGCUCAACCCUGAAACUGCAUUCGAUACUGCGCGGCUAGAGUGCUGGAGGGGAGACUGGAAUUUACGGUGUAGCAGUGAAAUGCGUAGAUAUCGUAAGGAAGACCAGUGGCGAAGGCGAGUCUCUGGACAGCAACUGACGCUGAGGCACGAAGGCCAGGGGAGCGAACAGG